UACGUAGGGACCAAGCGUUGUUCGGAUUUACUGGGCGUAAAGGGCGCGUAGGCGGCGCGGUAAGUCACUUGUGAAAUCUCUGAGCUUAACUCAGAACGGCCAAGUGAUACUGCAGUGCUAGAGUGUGGAAGGGGCAAUCGGAAUUCUUGGUGUAGCGGUGAAAUGCGUAGGUAUCAAGAGGAACACCUGAGGUGAAGACGGGUUGCUGGGCCAACACUGACGCUGAUGCGCGAAAGCCAGGGGAGCAAACGGG
This 253-nucleotide ribosomal RNA is filed under the name uncultured bacterium. Its description in RNAcentral is "partial 16S ribosomal RNA". It matches the Rfam family "Bacterial small subunit ribosomal RNA", at positions 524 to 776 of the family's 1533-position model. The record is from RNAcentral.